Molecule: ribosomal RNA, 2825 nt
Filed under: Klebsiella pneumoniae
Lineage: Bacteria; Pseudomonadati; Pseudomonadota; Gammaproteobacteria; Enterobacterales; Enterobacteriaceae
Description: bacterial LSU rRNA
Rfam family: Bacterial large subunit ribosomal RNA
Source: RNAcentral
GGGUUGUGAGGUUAAGCGACUAAGCGUACACGGUGGAUGCCCUGGCAGUCAGAGGCGAUGAAGGACGUGCUAAUCUGCGAAAAGCGUCGGUAAGGUGAUAUGAACCGUUAUAACCGGCGAUGUCCGAAUGGGGAAACCCAGUGCAAUUCGUUGCACUAUCGUUAACUGAAUACAUAGGUUAACGAGGCGAACCGGGGGAACUGAAACAUCUAAGUACCCCGAGGAAAAGAAAUCAACCGAGAUUCCCCCAGUAGCGGCGAGCGAACGGGGAGCAGCCCAGAGUCUGAAUCAGCUUGUGUGUUAGUGGAACGGUCUGGAAAGUCCGACGGUACAGGGUGAUAGUCCCGUACACCAAAAUGCACAGGCUGUGAACUCGAAGAGUAGGGCGGGACACGUGGUAUCCUGUCUGAAUAUGGGGGGACCAUCCUCCAAGGCUAAAUACUCCUGACUGACCGAUAGUGAACCAGUACCGUGAGGGAAAGGCGAAAAGAACCCCGGCGAGGGGAGUGAAAAAGAACCUGAAACCGUGUACGUACAAGCAGUGGGAGCACCUUCGGGUGUGACUGCGUACCUUUUGUAUAAUGGGUCAGCGACUUAUAUUCUGUAGCAAGGUUAACCGUAUAGGGGAGCCGCAGGGAAACCGAGUCUUAACUGGGCGUUAAGUUGCAGGGUAUAGACCCGAAACCCGGUGAUCUAGCCAUGGGCAGGUUGAAGGUUGGGUAACACUAACUGGAGGACCGAACCGACUAAUGUUGAAAAAUUAGCGGAUGACUUGUGGCUGGGGGUGAAAGGCCAAUCAAACCGGGAGAUAGCUGGUUCUCCCCGAAAGCUAUUUAGGUAGCGCCUCGUGAACUCAUCUUCGGGGGUAGAGCACUGUUUCGGCUAGGGGGUCAUCCCGACUUACCAACCCGAUGCAAACUACGAAUACCGAAGAAUGUUAUCACGGGAGACACACGGCGGGUGCUAACGUCCGUCGUGAAGAGGGAAACAACCCAGACCGCCAGCUAAGGUCCCAAAGUCAUGGUUAAGUGGGAAACGAUGUGGGAAGGCACAGACAGCCAGGAUGUUGGCUUAGAAGCAGCCAUCAUUUAAAGAAAGCGUAAUAGCUCACUGGUCGAGUCGGCCUGCGCGGAAGAUGUAACGGGGCUAAACCAUGCACCGAAGCUGCGGCAGCGACACUAUGUGUUGUUGGGUAGGGGAGCGUUCUGUAAGCCUGCGAAGGUGACCUGUGAGGGUUGCUGGAGGUAUCAGAAGUGCGAAUGCUGACAUAAGUAACGAUAAAGCGGGUGAAAAGCCCGCUCGCCGGAAGACCAAGGGUUCCUGUCCAACGUUAAUCGGGGCAGGGUGAGUCGACCCCUAAGGCGAGGCCGAAAGGCGUAGUCGAUGGGAAACAGGUUAAUAUUCCUGUACUUGGUGUUACUGCGAAGGGGGGACGGAGAAGGCUAUGUUAGCCGGGCGACGGUUGUCCCGGUUUAAGCAUGUAGGCUGAUUGUCCAGGCAAAUCCGGAUAAUCAAGGCUGAGGUGUGAUGACGAGGCACUACGGUGCUGAAGUAACAAAUGCCCUGCUUCCAGGAAAAGCCUCUAAGCAUCAGGUAACAUCAAAUCGUACCCCAAACCGACACAGGUGGUCAGGUAGAGAAUACCAAGGCGCUUGAGAGAACUCGGGUGAAGGAACUAGGCAAAAUGGUGCCGUAACUUCGGGAGAAGGCACGCUGGUGUGUAGGUGAAGUCCCUGCGGAUGGAGCUGAGACCAGUCGAAGAUACCAGCUGGCUGCAACUGUUUAUUAAAAACACAGCACUGUGCAAACACGAAAGUGGACGUAUACGGUGUGACGCCUGCCCGGUGCCGGAAGGUUAAUUGAUGGGGUUAUCCGUAAGGAGAAGCUCUUGAUCGAAGCCCCGGUAAACGGCGGCCGUAACUAUAACGGUCCUAAGGUAGCGAAAUUCCUUGUCGGGUAAGUUCCGACCUGCACGAAUGGCGUAAUGAUGGCCAGGCUGUCUCCACCCGAGACUCAGUGAAAUUGAACUCGCUGUGAAGAUGCAGUGUACCCGCGGCAAGACGGAAAGACCCCGUGAACCUUUACUAUAGCUUGACACUGAACAUUGAGCCUUGAUGUGUAGGAUAGGUGGGAGGCUUUGAAGCGUGGACGCCAGUCUGCGUGGAGCCAACCUUGAAAUACCACCCUUUAAUGUUUGAUGUUCUAACGUUGGCCCCUUACCGGGGUUGCGGACAGUGUCUGGUGGGUAGUUUGACUGGGGCGGUCUCCUCCCAAAGCGUAACGGAGGAGCACGAAGGUUAGCUAAUCCUGGUCGGACAUCAGGAGGUUAGUGCAAUGGCAUAAGCUAGCUUGACUGCGAGCGUGACGGCGCGAGCAGGUGCGAAAGCAGGUCAUAGUGAUCCGGUGGUUCUGAAUGGAAGGGCCAUCGCUCAACGGAUAAAAGGUACUCCGGGGAUAACAGGCUGAUACCGCCCAAGAGUUCAUAUCGACGGCGGUGUUUGGCACCUCGAUGUCGGCUCAUCACAUCCUGGGGCUGAAGUAGGUCCCAAGGGUAUGGCUGUUCGCCAUUUAAAGUGGUACGCGAGCUGGGUUUAGAACGUCGUGAGACAGUUCGGUCCCUAUCUGCCGUGGGCGCUGGAGAAUUGAGGGGGGCUGCUCCUAGUACGAGAGGACCGGAGUGGACGCAUCACUGGUGUUCGGGUUGUCAUGCCAAUGGCACUGCCCGGUAGCUAAAUGCGGAAGAGAUAAGUGCUGAAAGCAUCUAAGCACGAAACUUGCCCCGAGAUGAGUUCUCCCUGAGACUUUAAGUCUCCUGAAGGAACGUU